RNAcentral lists this ribosomal RNA (483 nucleotides) under uncultured bacterium. RNAcentral's name for it is "partial 16S ribosomal RNA". It matches the Rfam family "Bacterial small subunit ribosomal RNA", at positions 30 to 508 of the family's 1533-position model. The record is from RNAcentral.
AUUGAACGCUGGCGGCAUGCUCUACACAUGCAAGUCGAACGGUAACAGGCCGCAAGGUGCUGACGAGUGGCGAACGGGUGAGUAAUGCAUCGGAACGUGCCCAGUCGUGGGGGAUAACUACUCGAAAGAGUAGCUAAUACCGCAUACGAUCUAUGGAUGAAAGCGGGGGACCGUAAGGCCUCGCGCGAUUGGAGCGGCCGAUGUCAGAUUAGGUAGUUGGUGGGGUAAAGGCUCACCAAGCCAACGAUCUGUAGCUGGUCUGAGAGGACGACCAGCCACACUGGGACUGAGACACGGCCCAGACUCCUACGGGAGGCAGCAGUGGGGAAUUUUGGACAAUGGGCGCAAGCCUGAUCCAGCAAUGCCGCGUGCAGGAAGAAGGCCUUCGGGUUGUAAACUGCUUUUGUACGGAACGAAACGGCUCUGGUUAAUACCCGGGGCUAAUGACGGUACCGUAAGAAUAAGCACCGGCUAACUACGUGC